This 480-nucleotide ribosomal RNA is filed under the name uncultured bacterium. RNAcentral's name for it is "partial 16S ribosomal RNA". It matches the Rfam family "Bacterial small subunit ribosomal RNA", at positions 28 to 507 of the family's 1533-position model. The record is from RNAcentral.
GAUGAACGCUAGCGGCAGGCCUAACACAUGCCAGUCGAGGGGGAGGUUACUUUCUGUUUACUGUGACCGACGUACGGGUGCGUAACGCGUAUACAAUCUGCCUUUCACUGGGGGAUGGCCCGAAUAAAUUUGGUUUAAUACCCCCUAGUAUAGUAAUACGGCAUCGUGAUGCUGUUAAGGCUUAGGUGGUGAAAGAUGAGUAUGCGUUCUAUUAGCUAGUUGGUGAGGUAACGGCUGCCCAAGGAGAUGAUAGAUAGGGGUUCUGAGAGGGAUGUCCCCCAGAGGGGGACUGAGAUACGGACCAGACUCCUACGGGAGGCAGUCGUGAGGGAGACUGGAGAAUGGUCGGUAGACUGAUCCAGCCAUGCCGCGUGCAGGAAGAAGGUCUUAUGGAUUGUAAACUGCUUUUGUAAGGGAAGAAUAAGGGGUACGCGUAGUUUGAUGACGGUACCUGACGAAUAAGCAUCGGCUAACUCCGUG